GAAAUUCCAAUCGAACCCGGAGAUAGCUGGUUCUCCCCGAAAUAGCUUUAGGGCUAGCGUCGAGGUAAGUUGCGUGAAGGUAGAGCACUGAAUAUGUGAUGGCCCCAUCUCGGGGUACUGAGCAUAAUCAAACUGCGAAUGUCACGCCAACAUGCUCGGCAGUCAGACAGCGGGUGAUAAGGUCCGUUGUCAAGAGGGAAACAGCCCAGACCAUCAGCUAAGGUCCCAAAAUGUAUGCUAAGUGGAAAAGGAUGUGGAGAUGUACAGACAACUAGGAGGUUGGCUCAGAAGCAGCCAUCCUUUAAAGAGUGCGUAACAGCUCACUAGUCGAAUGACUCUGCGCCGAUAAUUUACCGGGGCUAAGCAUACUACCGAAGCUAUGGAUCCCAAGGGAUGGUAGGGGAGCGUUCCAUGAACGGAGAAGUACGACCGAAAGGACGUGUGGAGAUCAUGGAAGAGAGAAUGCCGGUGUGAGUAGCGGAACGUGGGUGAGAAUCCCACGCACCGAAAACCCAAGGUUUCCAGAGGAAGGUUCGUCCGCUCUGGGUAAGUCGGGACCUAAGGCGAGGCCGAAAGGCGUAGUCGAUGGACAACAGGUAGAGAUUCCUGUACCCGUAUAUAUGUGAAGGAAUGACGGAGAGAGGAAGCUGCAGCCAGCGGCUGGAAGAGCUGGUGCAAGCGAGAUAUCGGGAUGGCAGGCAAAUCCACCAUCCGAAACGAGAAGGCGUGAAGCGUACGGAAAGCUACGGCGAGUACGGAAGGCAGUGGAGGAACUUCCAAGAAAAGUUUCUAACGUUAAGUAUAUAUGGCCCGUACCGAAAAUGGACACACAUGGGUGAGGAGAGAAUCCUAAGGUGAGCGAGAGAACUAUAGCUAAGGAACUCUGCAAAAUGACUCCGUAACUUAGGGAGAAGGAGUGCUCAUAGAGAUAUGAGCCGCAGUGAAACGGCCCAAGCGACUGUUUACCAAAAACACAGCUCUCUGCUAAGCCGCAAGGCGAAGUAUAGGGGGUGACGCCUGCCCGGUGCUGGAAGGUUAAGGGGAGGGGUUAACGCAAGUGAAGCCCUGAACUGAAGCCCCAGUAAACGGCGGCCGUAACUAUAACGGUCCUAAGGUAGCGAAAUUCCUUGUCAGGUAAGUUCUGACCCGCACGAAAGGCGUAACGAUUUGGGCGCUGUCUCAGCUGUAGACUCGGUGAAGUCUUAGUACCUGUGAAGAUGCAGGUUACCCGCGACUAGACGGAAAGACCCCAUGGAGCUUCACUGCAGGUUGAUAUUGGGAUUUGAUGCAGCAUGUACAGGAUAGGUAGGAGGCAAAGAGAUGGAUACGCCAGUAUUCAAGGAGCCGCUGUUGGGAUACUACCCCUGUUGUAUUGGAUUUCUAACCGGACGACGUAGAACCGUUGACGGGACAGUGUCAGUCGGGCAGUUUGACUGGGGCGGUCGCCUCCCAAAGAGUAACGGAGGCGCCCAAAGAUACCCUCAGCUUGGAUGGAAACCAAGCGCAGAGUGCAAAGGCAAAAGGGUGUUUGACUGCGAGACCCACAAGUCGAGCAGGGACGAAAGUCGGGCUUAGUGAUCCGGCGGUGCUGAAUGGAAAGGCCGUCGCUCAACGGAUAAAAGCUACCCUGGGGAUAACAGGCUGAUCUCCCCCAAGAGU
This 1659-nucleotide ribosomal RNA is filed under the name human gut metagenome. Its description in RNAcentral is "bacterial LSU rRNA". It matches the Rfam family "Bacterial large subunit ribosomal RNA", at positions 823 to 2499 of the family's 2925-position model. The record is from RNAcentral.